AGAUUGAACGCUGGCGGCAUGCUUUACACAUGCAAGUCGAACGGUAACAGGCCGCAAGGUGCUGACGAGUGGCGAACGGGUGAGUAAUGCAUCGGAACGUGCCCAGUCGUGGGGGAUAGCGCAGCGAAAGCUGUGCUAAUACCGCAUACGAUCUAUGGAUGAAAGCGGGGGACAAAGGCCUCGCGCGAUUGGAGCGGCCGAUGUCAGGAUUAGCUAGUUGGUGGGGUAAACGGCCCACCAAGGCGACGAUCUGUAGCUGGUCUGAGACGGACGACCAGCCACACGUGGAACUGAAGACCACGGGUCCAGGACCUCCGUACGGGAGU
RNAcentral lists this ribosomal RNA (326 nucleotides) under uncultured soil bacterium. Its description in RNAcentral is "bacterial SSU rRNA". It matches the Rfam family "Bacterial small subunit ribosomal RNA", at positions 26 to 348 of the family's 1533-position model. The record is from RNAcentral.